UGAUACAUGAGAAGACUUGACAAAGGGCGGACUUGACUUUACUUGUUUCAACUUAAAUUAUAUCUCCAGCAUCUAGUAUUGUUGUAUUAGUGCUCUCUUCCUUUCACCAUUUUGGCAGAGAAGAUAAUAGCCAGAGAACCCCCUCCCCGCCGCCCCCCCCCAAAAAAAAGCAGGAAAGAAGGACAGAAAAUAAGGGGGUCGUUCUUUCCUAGCAAUGGGAAAGAUGGUUUGCUCGGAGCUAGAUGAAGGCUUGGAUCUGUCUAGAUUUCUAAUGGUGAUUGUUAUAGUUCUCACCCUCAUGGUCAUCUGCAGACCGCCUCCUAGGCAAAACGUUCUCGCCGUGCAUCGCAUCCGUUGACAAUUUUGUUGUCGAUUUCAGAAUUCUCAGGCUGGUCAAGCCAAGUAUUUUCCUCAGGCUGUUUUUAUACUUGCGAUGAACGGUUGCUCGCUCUUAGUUAGGGAAGCAAGAAGGCUAAAAUAAAUCAUUACACGA
Molecule: long non-coding RNA, 493 nt
Organism: Morus notabilis
Lineage: Eukaryota; Viridiplantae; Streptophyta; Magnoliopsida; Rosales; Moraceae
Exons: 2
Source: RefSeq, a predicted model, not a curated record